GAUGAAUAACGUAGCGAAAUGCGAUAAGUAAUGUGAAUUGCAGAAUUUAGUGAAUCAUCGAAUCUUUGAACGCAUAUUGCGCCCGCCAGCACUCUGGCGGGCAUGCCUGUUCGAGCGUCAUUUCAACCCUCAGGCCUCGCGUCUGGCGUUGGGGCGCUGCGGCCCUCCCGCAGGCCCCCAAAUUUAGCGGCGGAUUCCCCGCGGCCCUGAGCGCAGUAGAGAGUAAAAACUUUAACGCUCCGGCGGCCGUGGCGCGGUUCUGCCUCUUUCCCAAUAGCGCCAAUAGCGCCACCCCCAAAAAAGUUGACCUCGGAUCAGGUAGGACUACCCGCUGAACUUAAGCAUAUCAAUAAGCGGAGGA
This 361-nucleotide unclassified non-coding RNA is filed under the name soil metagenome. RNAcentral describes it as "partial contains 5.8S ribosomal RNA, internal transcribed spacer 2, and large subunit ribosomal RNA". The stretch from base 1 to 120 matches the Rfam family "5.8S ribosomal RNA", at positions 35 to 154 of the family's 154-position model. The record is from RNAcentral.